AUGGACGGCGGGGAGACCCAGGUCGUGGACGACGGAGGGACGCCGCCGUUGGGGUCUCCAGUUAGCUCCGGCGCCACGACGCAGAGCGGGGGCGAGGAGGAUGACAACGGUCUGAGAUUAGGGUCUCCAGUUAGCUCCGGCGACACGACGCAGAGUGGGGGAGACGCCGGCGUGCUGUAUGGUGAGACGCAGCCGCUGGACGAGGACGACGAGACCGAGCCGGUUGAUGAUGAAUUUGAGGGGGAGGGGGAGGAGAGGAUGUCUGAUGACACGCAGGUGGUGGAGGACUCAGAGGAUGAUGCCGGUGGCGUCGCUGGGCAGACGCAGGCGGUAGAGGAGGAUGAAGAGGAAGAUGGUGGCAGCACGGAGGAUGAAGCUGGUGACGGGGAUAGGACCCAGUUGAUUGAAGAAUGCGAGGUUGAGGAUGGUGGGAGUGGCGAGACCCAGUUGGUCGAGGAAUGUCAGGGAGAGGAGAGAGUAAAUGAUAGCAGCGAUGAUGAGGCUGCCGUUCAACGGGGGACGACCCAGUUGGUCGAGGAAUGUCAGGAAGAGGAGAGGGUAAAUGAUAGCAGCGAUGAUGAUGCUGCCGAUCAACGUGGGAUGACCCAGUUGGUUGAAGACUCGGAUAAAGAGAUGGGUGAUGAUGCUGACGAUGAGUUGAGCCAGGGCACUCAAGUGCAAAGUGACGAUGAGGGCCUGCCAAAUAAUGAGACAUAUGUGAAGGAUUAUGCCGAGGAUUCGGUAGAUUCUGAUGCUUCCACGGAAGAAGAGGGUGACACAGUCAGAAGUUUGGAACGAGGGAAAAGGCAUGAUUUGACCAAUGGAACAUUUCUCCGAACGGAAAUUGUAGACAACUCUACCUCGUGUAAUGCGUUCUUUGGUGAUUGCCCAGGUCGUGGGAUUGAUGACGGGUCUUUUGGUUAUGUACAGAGCCAUGAAAAAGACGGGAGUAAAAGCAAAGGCAGGUGCUCAACAGCAAAGAAGCUUUUUGCUGACACAACGAACGAAGAGAAUGAAAUCAAGAGCAGGUGUUUUGCUGGACUAAGCUAUCUCGGAUCACAGGAGCCUGGUGAGCUAUCUCAAGCAAAUGCUUUGGACUUUGUGGAAGGGUUGAUCUCAAUUAAUGGCGGCAUAUCGUCUCAAGAACCAACACCAAAAAAAAUAGAAAAAGCAAAGCCACCUGUUUCAAUUAAGAUGGGAACUUUACUAUUGGCUGAGAAGGUUGACCGGCAUAGAAGUUCCAGAGGAAAGGCAGAAGUCUUUGCAUGGGUGGAUAGUCGCGAGGAUGAUGGCGGAGGUGAUUUUUUCAGGAAAAACAAGGAUAUCUUGUUGCAACAAUCAGCUGGCAGAGGGAAAUCAAACAUUCCCAGGCCAAAGAAGUGCUCCACCAAAAUUGCACCUCCUGACAAGAAAAUAAUAGAGGGAUGCAAAAGGAGAACGAAGUCCAAACCUUGUGAGAAGACUGAAACUUUACCUUUAUCGGAUUUGAGACUACUAAAAAGUGAGGUGAAGAGUAAGAAGGCUUCUGGAAAAAGGACUAAGAAAAACCUUUUGAAAGACUUGGAUGAUCAUCUAUCAACUGCCAAACCUAUUAAAAGACAGCUGGAAAAGGUCAGUGUGGAUUUGCAUGAUGUUGGUCAGGAUACUCAAAUGGCUAUCGAAGCUAUAGAAGCACUGGCACAAAGUUCCCCUGCUGAAAACUUGUCAGCCGAAGUUGAACCUCCAGUGAAGAGAGAUCUGAGAGUUGUAUCUAAAGUAGAAAAAAGUAACCCAAAGAGUGACCCUCCUAGAAAGAGAACCAGCAGCGUCCAGGAAGGUGUCACGACACGUUCUAAAAGAAUAAAAGUAACUGAGAUGAACCACAAACCUCAGAAAGACAUGCGACAAAAUUUAGAAGAUCGUGCAACAAAGGAGAAACAUAAGCAGGCAAAGCCAGUACCACAGAAGAAUAAAGUUGCGAAGAUAGUUGAUGGAAAUAAGUAUGACAGUACACCUAUUGCUCAUCGAACAAGGCACACUGGUAGAAAUAACCUCUAUGAGUCUCCUGAGUUAUGUUCUAAUAAGAACUUAAAGAAGGCCACUGUUGGAGAAGUAAGAAAUAAUCAUAGUGAACAUGUACUCGAGAGACCGAUGAUUAGUGAGAGAACCGCAGAAUAUGGUUCGGGUUCUGUGUUAAAAGAAAACACAGAGAAUACAUGUGCAAAUAAUGCUCAGGGUCUUCAGCAAAGUACUGAUGCAAGCAUUCGGCAUACCAGUGCAAAUGUUGCUCAGAACCUUGAACCAUUAAGAGAUGAACCAACAACUCAAGUCUUCCGCAGAGAGCCCUCAUCUCACCCCAAACAGAGAAGAACACCUACUGCAGUUGUACAGGCAAAGGCUCCUGCAGUUACCGAGGCUGCUAUAGGUCAUGAUGUGACAAGGCCAUCCAAGAAAAGACGGAUUUUUAUUAGCAGUUCAGAACUGCUAACGUAUGCAAGGAGGGAGCGCUCCGAUUGCAGAUCAACUUCUUUGCUGUCUAGUAUUAUCACACAAUCAUCAGCUGCUUCUCCUGUACUUGAUUCUUCAUCGGGAGUUAACAGCAAAACUUCUGGUUUUAGUAGCUCUGAUCGGCGACAAAAGAAAUCACCCGGUGUUAAGAAUGCAAGCAACUCACCAAAAUGUAACUCUCCAGUUCCGAAUAGUGCCCUGAAAACAUCUUCUAAAGUGGUAAACAAAUUGUCACCUACUUUCAGUCCUCUAAAUCCUUCAAAAGCUUCAAAUAGGAGCUUGUUGAAAUCCUCUGUUGCCAAAGAGCUGCUGGAGUUAGAUCCUGAAAAUGCUCUACCAAGUCGAUACCGAAAGGAUUCUAGAAGAAAAGAUAUGACGAGUUGCAGUAUUAUUUUCAGCCAUCAUUUGGAUGAGGAUGUGAUCAAGCGUCAGAAGAAGAUCUUGGCACGCUUAGGAGCCCAUGAAGCACUUUCCGUUGCAGAUGCAACACAUUUUGUGGGGGAUGGUUUUUACCGCACAAAGAAUAUGCUGGAGGCAGUUACACGUGGCAAACUGGUGGUGACAUCAAUGUGGCUUGAAAGUUGUGGAGCAGCAGGCUGUUUUGUAAACGAUAAGAAAUAUAUUCUGAGGGAUGCCAAAAAGGAAAAGGAGAUGGGUUUCAGCAUGCCUAUAUCACUGGCAUCAGCUUGCAAGAGUCCUCUGCUCUUGGGGAAAAGAGUGUUUGUGACACGAAAUGUGAAGCCAAGUCGAGAGGUGGUGACUAGCUUGGUUUCCGCAUCUUCUGGGCAGCCAUUGGAGAGGAUGGGUAGGUCCAUAAGGAAGGAAAAGGAAGCACCAGAUGACCUACUGGUCAUCUCAUGUGAAGAGGACUACGAAACAUGCGCUCCACUCGUCGAGAAAGGUGUUGAUGUUUUCGAUGCGGAGCUUCUGCUGAACGGUAUAGUCACCCAGAAGCUCGAUUACGAGAGGCACCGCCUUUUCUUGGACCGUGUGAAGCAGACCCGCUCGACGAGGUGGCUGAAAGACGGUGCGCACGGGCGGUUUGUGCCCGUAUCGAAGAGUUGA
This 3552-nucleotide ribosomal RNA is filed under the name Triticum aestivum (bread wheat). RNAcentral describes it as "partial small subunit ribosomal RNA". The record is from RNAcentral. Lineage: Eukaryota; Viridiplantae; Streptophyta; Magnoliopsida; Poales; Poaceae.